Xyrauchen texanus (razorback sucker) is the source of this 2730-nucleotide RNA transcript. RefSeq lists it as uncharacterized. The record is from RefSeq and is a predicted model, not a curated record. The transcript has 8 exons. Lineage: Eukaryota; Metazoa; Chordata; Actinopteri; Cypriniformes; Catostomidae.
AAAAAUGCCCUUGAUGACCAAGUGUGGCAGUUGUGUUUGAGGCUCAGGGAAAUUGUAGAGCUUGUUUGUGCAUCCAAGAUUCACACCAAUCAGGUAGCCUAUCUCAAGGUUCUCAUCAGGGAGUAUGUUCAGAUGCGAGUGGAUAUUUUCCCAGAUAACCCUAUCAAACCAAAACACCACUUCCUUCUCCACUAUCCAGACCUAAUCCUUAAAUUUGGUCCUCUCAUUCGUCUUUGGACAAUGCGGUUUGAGAGUAAGCAUACAUAUUUUAAGCAGUGUGCACGGAAGCUUCACAACUUCAAAAACCUCUCCAGUACUCUGGCAGAAAGGCACCAGUUGCUUCAGUCGUAUCUUCAUGCUGGUAAUGUCUUUCCUCCUGUUCUUCAAGUAGGUCAGGCUGAUGAGUUUAAUGCCCACAUGUAUAAUUUCGCCAUUCAAGAAGCUGUACGACUCGGUAAUUUGACUGGUAGCAUCAUGGAGACAGCCAUGGUCACAUACAAGGGUACAACAUAUAAGAAGGGAAUGAGUGUUGUACUUGAUGUUAGUGAUGGUGGAUAUGUGCUGGGGAAGAUUGCUCUGAUAAUAGUCUGCCAGGAAAAGGUGUAUUUUGUUUCAGAGAGACAUCAGUCAGUGCCAGUGUUGGAUCUUGGUGUGCACUGUGUACAGCAUGACAGUGAGACUUGUUAUGUGUGUGUUUGUGUCGACGGGCUUGCAGACUAUCACCCAGUGUCUGUUUAUAGACAUUUGGAUCUCGAACUUGUUGUGCUUCACCAUUCUAUCUGUUUAGGUUGCAAGACGACAUGGAGUCAAUCAUAAAGGGCACUCUUGCCCACUUGAGUGAGGAGACGCUGACAUGUCUUCUUGAACACCUCUCUAACAUUGGCAUAAGGACCUCAGAUGACUUCAGAUUUCUAACAGAGGAUGAUUUAAAACAAAUGAUUUCAUUGAUUGAUAGCAGAAAACUUCUACAUGCAUUUAACAACAGAGGUGGUGGUGGUACACAGUGCAGUCAGCCAAGUGACAAUGCAGCAAGUGAAACAAUUACACUGACAUUAACUCCAGUUACUGAAUUGGAAGUCUCCUCAAUAAUGACUUCACCACAGUGCAGCGUUCCUUUGCAAAAUAAAACAUGGACUACGACAUUUAAAAUUCCAUGGGAGAAGACUAGGCCCACUCUACAAAGAUGUCUCGCUCAGAACACAAUCCCAGAAGACACAGACAGACGGCACAUGGUUAGAAUCACUGUAGAUGCCAUGAGAGAAAAAUGCUUAAACCCAACAUGGAGUCAGUGUACAGUAAUUGCUAAAAGUGUAGUUGACAAAUACCCUGGUAGCUUUGAAGACAGAACAGAUGAAGGUGACAGAAUGGGCAAUGGAUACUUCACGUUGUCCUCACAACUGAAAAAUAGAGUGGAUAACCUUAACAGAAACAAUACCCUUGCCCGUCUCAGAAAGCCAAAAAGACCUGCGGAUACUAACAAUGUCCACCCAGCACAGCCAGAAAAAGUUGCAAAAACUGACAGUUAUGGAUGCAUAAACUGGCAGCCAUCUCAAUUACCAGAAGGAGAGACAAUAGACUCUCUACAUCAUAAAAAGAAGAACUUAAAUUAAUUUUCUCUCAAGAAGGACCAAGUGGAGCAGACCGUGUAAGAGUGAAUGAUUUGAUGGUCUUAACUUAUGCAAGUCAGCGCAGUGCAAUAAACUCCACACCUUCACUUAGUGUACAUGAAUUGAAUAGAGAAUGGCCUUUCCUGUUUAUGAAUAAGUUUUUAAUGCAGCACUUCACUUCACUUACUGGGAUCGAGCUUGAUGAAAGGCUGAGAGAAUGCAUUGCUGGAAAAGGAAGGAGGGUGCUCCAGUUCUUCAAAACUCAGUUUCUUCGCUGGACAAAAGAAGUGAAGACUGUUCUUGCCGACAUUGAACGUCUCCAAGGCGAAAACAUGGACUCAACAAUCGCUGUCAUAUUGCUGAUGAUGACCUUCUUUAGAGAGAAAGAUGAUGCCAUUUUCCUUCUUGCUGAUGUCACCAGUACCCAUGCAGAUGCUGAAGCUCAGUUGUCGCUUCCCACUACACCAAGAAUAAUCAUGCUGGGAGAUUCCAUCCUGACAUCGAAAAAAUGGAUGCUCUGCGUAGAAGGAAAGGUGGUCAUCCAGUCAGUUAACCCUCAGGAUGACUUCACAUCUGCCCUGGCUGUCUUCUUCGCUUCUUUCUAUAUAUUCAACCUGGAGUACCAAGCUGAGGCUGCAUCAACCCUGGAAUUCAUCCAGAGAUUUUUGGUCAGGAUAAAUCCAGAGAACACAAAAUGCAGAGCCAAAUUUCAGCAGAGCCAUAACAGUGGCAGGAUGGUGCAACGUAAAAACAGGGCCCUGAAUCCACAUGUUGCCAGCUUCAUCAAGGAAUUCACCAACUAUGACUGGCAGAAUUAUUAGAAUUAGCGUGUAUGUAGUUGUUCGACAUUGCAGCGCGCUGAUGAGUAUCGCUCUUAUGGUUAAUACAGAGCAUGUAUGUAGUUGUUCGACAUUGCAGCGCGCUGAUGAGUAUCGCUCUUACGGUUAAUACAGAGGCAGCAAAAAUCUGGGAUCUGCAUUGGCCCUUCGAAGUCUGGACUGGAGAAUGUUUUUACAGUUUAAUGAAUUAAAUUUUAAUAAAAGUUUUUAAAUGGACUUCUGAGUGUUGUCAUAAUUGAUGUGACAUCUUAUAAUUAGUAAUAUAACUGUGAAAUAUUUGUGCA